This 282-nucleotide unclassified non-coding RNA is filed under the name uncultured Piloderma. RNAcentral describes it as "sequence contains ITS2". The stretch from base 1 to 52 matches the Rfam family "5.8S ribosomal RNA", at positions 103 to 154 of the family's 154-position model. The record is from RNAcentral. Lineage: Eukaryota; Fungi; Basidiomycota; Agaricomycetes; Atheliales; Atheliaceae.
AACGCACCUUGCGCUCCUUGGUAUUCCGAGGAGCAUGCCUGUUUGAGUGUCAUUAAAUUCUCAAACUCCGAUCGAUUUGUUUCGACUUCGGGGCUUGGAUUUGGAGCGUGCUGGCGUCGGUCGGCUCCUCUUAAACGCAUCAGCGGAAUCUAACGUUCCGGACGUCAGUGUGAUAAUCACGUUGCGCUGUCUUUCGGUCCGAAAAGCCCGCUCACAAUGGUCUUCGGACAACUUCAUAUCAAAUUUGACCUCAAAUCAGGUAGGACUACCCGCUGAACUUAA